GGAUUAGAUACCCUGGUAGUCCACGCCGUAAACGAUGAGUGCCAGAUGUCGGGGGGCGUAGCCCUUCGGUGUCGAAGUUAACGCGUUAAGCACUCCGCCUGGGGAGUACGGCCGCAAGGUUAAAACUCAAAGGAAUUGACGGGGGCCCGCACAAGCGGUGGAGCAUGUGGUUUAAUUCGACGCAACGCGCAGAACCUUACCAGCCCUUGACAUCCCGAUCGCGGAUUUCAGAGAUGAUUUCCUUCAGUUCGGCUGGAUCGGUGACAGGUGCUGCAUGGCUGUCGUCAGCUCGUGCCG
RNAcentral lists this ribosomal RNA (297 nucleotides) under uncultured bacterium. RNAcentral describes it as "partial 16S ribosomal RNA". It matches the Rfam family "Bacterial small subunit ribosomal RNA", at positions 775 to 1067 of the family's 1533-position model. The record is from RNAcentral.